This 497-nucleotide ribosomal RNA is filed under the name uncultured bacterium. Its description in RNAcentral is "partial 16S ribosomal RNA". It matches the Rfam family "Bacterial small subunit ribosomal RNA", at positions 28 to 507 of the family's 1533-position model. The record is from RNAcentral.
GACGAACGCUGGCGGCGUGCCUAAUACAUGCAAGUUGAGCGAUGAAGAUUGGUGCUUGCACCAAUUUGAAGAGCAGCGAACGGGUGAGUAACGCGUGGGGAAUCUGCCUUUGAGCGGGGGACAACAUUUGGAAACGAAUGCUAAUACCGCAUAACAACUUUAAACAUAAGUUUUAAGUUUGAAAGAUGCAAUUGCAUCACUCAAAGAUGAUCCCGCGUUGUAUUAGCUAGUUGGUGAGGUAAAGGCUCACCAAGGCGAUGAUACAUAGCCGACCUGAGAGGGUGGUCGGCCACAUUGGGACUGAGACACGGCCCAAACUCCUACGGGGGGCAGCAGUAGGGAAUCUUCGGCAAUGGACGAAAGUCUGACCGAGCAACGCCGCGUGAGUGAAGAAGGUUUUCGGAUCGUAAAACUCUGUUGGUAGAGAAGAACGUUGGUGAGAGUGGAAAGCUCAUCAAGUGACGGUAACUACCCAGAAAGGGACGGCUAACUACGUG